GACGAACGCUGGCGGCGUGCCUAAUACAUGCAAGUCGAACGCUUCUUUCCUCCCGAGUGCUUGCACUCAAUUGGAAAGAGGAGUGGCGGACGGGUGAGUAACACGUGGGUAACCUACCCAUCAGAGGGGGAUAACACUUGGAAACAGGUGCUAAUACCGCAUAACAGUUUAUGCCGCAUGGCAUAAGAGUGAAAGGCGCUUUCGGAUGUCGUUGAUGGAUGGACCCGCGGUGCAUUAGCUAGUUGGUAAGGUAACGGCUCACCAAGGCCACGAUGCAUAGCCGACCUGAGAGGGUGAUCGGCCACACUGGAACUGAGACACGGCCCAGACUCCUACGGGAGGCAGCAGUAGGGAAUCUUCGGCAAUGGACGAAAGUCUGACCGAGCAACGCCGCGUGAGUGAAGAAGGUUUUCGGAUCGUAAAACUCUGUUGUUAGAGAAGAACAAGGACGUUAGUAACUGAACGUCUCCUGACGGUAUCUAACCAGAAAGCCACGGCUAACUACGUG
Molecule: ribosomal RNA, 508 nt
Filed under: uncultured bacterium
Lineage: Bacteria
Description: partial 16S ribosomal RNA
Rfam family: Bacterial small subunit ribosomal RNA
Source: RNAcentral